Molecule: ribosomal RNA, 479 nt
Filed under: uncultured bacterium
Lineage: Bacteria
Description: bacterial SSU rRNA
Rfam family: Bacterial small subunit ribosomal RNA
Source: RNAcentral
AUUGAACGCUGGCGACAUGCCUUACACAUGCAAGUCGAACGGCAGCACGGGAGCAAUCCUGGUGGCGAGUGGCGAACGGGUGAGUAAUAUAUCGGAACGUGCCCGGUCGUGGGGGAUAACGUAGCGAAAGCUACGCUAAUACCGCAUACGAUCUAUGGAUGAAAGCGGGGGAUCGCAAGACCUCGCGCGAUUGGAGCGGCCGAUAUCAGAUUAGGUAGUUGGUGAGGUAAAGGCUCACCAAGCCGACGAUCUGUAGCUGGUCUGAGAGGACGACCAGCCACACUGGGACUGAGACACGGCCCAGACUCCUACGGGAGGCAGCAGUGGGGAAUUUUGGACAAUGGGCGCAAGCCUGAUCCAGCAAUGCCGCGUGCAGGAUGACGGUCCUAUGGAUUGUAAACUGCUUUUAUACAGGAAGAAACCCUCCCACGUGUGGGAGCUUGACGGUACUGUAGGAAUAAGGAUCGGCUAACUCCGUG